This 497-nucleotide ribosomal RNA is filed under the name uncultured bacterium. RNAcentral's name for it is "partial 16S ribosomal RNA". It matches the Rfam family "Bacterial small subunit ribosomal RNA", at positions 28 to 507 of the family's 1533-position model. The record is from RNAcentral.
GAUGAACGCUGGCGGCGUGCCUAAUACAUGCAAGUCGAGCGAACGGACGAGAAGCUUGCUUCUCUGAUGUUAGCGGCGGACGGGUGAGUAACACGUGGAUAACCUACCUAUAAGACUGGGAUAAAUUCGGGAAACCGGAGCUAAUACCGGAUAAUAUUUUGAACCGCAUGGUUCAAAAGUGAAAGACGGUCUUGCUGUCACUUAUAGAUGGAUCCGCGCUGCAUUAGCUAGUUGGUAAGGUAACGGCUUACCAAGGCAACGAUGCAUAGCCGACCUGAGAGGGUGAUCGGCCACACUGGAACUGAGACACGGUCCAGAGUCCUGCGGGAGGCAGCAGUAGGGAAUCUUCCGCAAUGGGCGAAAGCCUGGCGGAGCAACGCCGCGUGAGUGAUGAAGGUCUUCGGAUCGUAAAACUCUGUUAUUAGGGAAGAACAUAUGUGUAAGUAACUGUGCACAUCUUGACGGUACCUAAUCAGAAAGCCACGGCUAACUACGUG